Molecule: non-coding RNA, 217 nt
Filed under: Virgibacillus necropolis
Lineage: Bacteria; Bacillati; Bacillota; Bacilli; Caryophanales; Bacillaceae
Description: T-box sequence
Rfam family: T-box leader
About the family: Uncharged tRNA acts as the effector for transcription antitermination of genes in the T-box leader family. T-boxes are found upstream of many aminoacyl-tRNA synthetase genes and some amino acid biosynthetic genes usually in Gram-positive bacteria. The anticodon of a specific tRNA base pairs to a specifier sequence within the T-box motif, and the NCCA acceptor tail of the tRNA base pairs to a conserved bulge in the T-box antiterminator hairpin.
Source: RNAcentral
AUAAAAACAAUGAAUAGGCUAGUAAAUGAUUGUCUAUGCGUGAGAGAGUGGAAUUCACCGGCUGAAAGAUUCCAUCGUGUUAGCAUUAUUGAACCUACCUGUGAGUCGUUAGAUAAAAGCUAACCGCAGCUAAUUCUGCGUUAUCAAUGGAAAGUGGACAUUUAAUUUAAGUCAAUUAAGGUGGUACCGCGGAUAUAAACCUCAAUCCGUCCUUUUU